CAGGACUUUGGCUGAGAGCAACUAUUGGCAUGGCAAUGUGAAGAAGGAUCUUGUCUUGGAGCUGUAGCAAUAUUAAAUAGAGUGAGUGCAGGAACAAAGCCAGAGGUUUGUCUUUCUUUUUUUUGUUUUGUUAUGUUUUUUUUUCUUCCUGUUUUUUUUUUUUUUUUCUUUUUUUCUUCUUGCAGGAGCUGCAGUUCAAUUUCAUUUGGGAUGUUUCAUGGAAAGGCAAUGAAUAAAUGAUGAAUAAAUCAGAGAGAGCAAUGCAAACUGACCUAGGCUGGAGGAAAGAGGAACUGGAAAGGAAAUCUUUCCUAUUUUCUGAUGGGUCAAGGCCUCCUCACCAUCUGAAGUCCAUGCGCUGCUUUACUUUCCAAAUCUGGAUCCAGAGAAGCCAAAUUAAACGAUUCACUGCACACCUUGCUUUGUAUUUGGCAUCAGGAUGCAGCUGUACUGACUCUUUCCAACUGGUGAAAUGAAUGAUGAUGAUGUACUUCUCACAAAAAAGCAUCUAUCUUUUAAACUCCCACACCUUCCCUGAGCCUUCAGAAUGGUUACAAGUAAAUUUAAGGCCUUUAUCCUACCACCAGUUCAUGAAGACUGGCAGUAGUGUUUCUGUGGAGUCCACAGAGUGCCACCAGGCAUGUGUUAUGGGGUUAAAAUCUGAACUACUUUCUCAUCAGUCCAAUUUGCC
This 691-nucleotide long non-coding RNA is filed under the name Chrysolophus pictus (golden pheasant). Its description in RNAcentral is "lncRNA (ENSCPIG00010003443.1)". The record is from RNAcentral. Lineage: Eukaryota; Metazoa; Chordata; Aves; Galliformes; Phasianidae.